GUCUACGGCCAGACCACUCUGAAUGCUCCCGAUCUCUGAUCUUGGAAGCUAAGCAGGGUCGGGCCUGGUUAGUAUUUGGAUGGGAGAAAACACUCAGCAUCCUUGUGGCAGAUU
RNAcentral lists this ribosomal RNA (114 nucleotides) under Castor canadensis (American beaver). Lineage: Eukaryota; Metazoa; Chordata; Mammalia; Rodentia; Castoridae. The record is from RNAcentral.